CUUUAGUAGUGGGUUUUAGUAGUGGGGUUUAGUAGUUGGUUUUAGUAGUAGUGGGUUUUAGUAGUGGGUUUUAGUAGUGGGCUUUAGUAGUGGGCUUUAGUAGUGGGUUUUAGUAGUGGGCUUUAGUAGUGGGUUUUAGUAGUGGGUUUUAGUAGUGGGUUUUAGUUGUGGGUUUUAGUUGUGGGUUUUAGUGGGAGGUUUUAGUGGGAGGUUUUAGUAGUAGUGGGUUUUAGUAGUGGGUUUUAGUAGUAGUGGGUUUUAGUAGUAGUGGGUUUUAGUAGUGUUUUUUAGUUGUGGGUUUUAGUAGUGGGUUUUAGUGGGAGGUUUUAGUAGUGGGUUUUAGUAGUGGGUUUUAGUGGGAGGUUUUAGUAGUAGUGGGUUUUAGUAGUAGUGGGUUUUAGUAGUGGUGGGUUUUAGUAGUAGUGGGUUUUUGUAGUGGGUUUUAGUAGUAGUGGGUUUUAGUAGUGGGUUUUAGUAGUAGUGGGUUUUAGUAGUGGGUUUUAGUAGUGGUGGGUUUUAGUAGUGGGUUUUAGUAGUAGUGGGUUUUAGUAGAGGGUUUUAGUAGUGGGUUUUAGUAGUAGUGGGUUUUAGUAGUGGGUUUUAGUAGUAGUGGGUUUUAGUGGUGGGUUUUAGUAGUGGGUUUUAGUAGUUGGUUUUAGUAGUAGUGGGUUUUAGUCGUGGGUUUUAGUAGUGGGCUUUAGUAGUGGGCUUUAGUAGUGGGUUUUAGUAGUGGGCUUUAGUAGUGGGUUUUAGUAGUGGGUUUUAGUAGUGGGUUUUAGUUGUGGGUUUUAGUUGUGGGUUUUAGUAGUAGUGGGUUGUAGUAGUAUUUGGUUUUAGUAGUGGGUUUUAGUAGUGGGUUUUAGUUGUGGGUUUUAGUAGUGGGUUUUAGUGGGAGGUUUUAG
Oncorhynchus tshawytscha (Chinook salmon) is the source of this 902-nucleotide long non-coding RNA. The record is from Ensembl. Lineage: Eukaryota; Metazoa; Chordata; Actinopteri; Salmoniformes; Salmonidae.